This 499-nucleotide ribosomal RNA is filed under the name uncultured bacterium. Its description in RNAcentral is "partial 16S ribosomal RNA". It matches the Rfam family "Bacterial small subunit ribosomal RNA", at positions 30 to 523 of the family's 1533-position model. The record is from RNAcentral.
AUUGAACGCUGGCGGAAUGCUUUACACAUGCAAGUCGAACGGCAGCACGGACUUCGGUCUGGUGGCGAGUGGCGAACGGGUGAGUAAUACGUCGGAACGUGCCCAGUCGUGGGGGAUAACGUAGCGAAAGCUACGCUAAUACCGCAUACGAUCUAAGGAUGAAAGCGGGGGAUCGCAAGACCUUGCGCGACUGGAGCGGCCGAUGGCAGAUUAGGUAGUUGGUGGGGUAAGGCUCACCAAGCCGACGAUCUGUAGCUGGUCUGAGAGGACGACCAGCCACACUGGGACUGAGACACGGCCCAGACUCCUACGGGAGGCAGCAGUGGGGAAUUUUGGACAAUGGGCGCAAGCCUGAUCCAGCCAUUCCGCGUGCAGGAUGAAGGCCCUCGGGUUGUAAACUGCUUUUGUACGGAACGAAAAGGCUCUGGUUAAUACCUGGGGCUCAUGACGGUACCGUAAGAAUAAGCACCGGCUAACUACGUGCCAGCAGCCGCCGUAA